CGAGUGGGAACGUUCCUCUGCCGGAUUGUAGCUUUACUCGGGGCUCUGUGUGGAUACUGAUGUUGUCCUACCGGAUUAGGAGUUUUGUUUUAUUUGUAUUUUAUUUUAUCUUUUAAAAAAUAUAUUUAAUUUCAUUGCAUUGCAUUCCAUCGUUAUUUUUACCUUUCGAUGUUUGUUAACUGGCCUAAUAAUACGUAGAAAAUAACCUUUUCGAAGCAGCGAUCCUCUGUCUCUUAACUCCCCGCGCUCACUCCCAUAGGAUUUUGCCACGUAAAACGCUUUUUCUUUCUCCCUCCUUGUUCGUUACCUGCGGGGGAGCCCCGAGCGCGAUACAGACGCCGCCUUUCCCCCCACACGUACCGAUCCCCGCCCCUAAACGCCGCCGGCUCCACGCUUCCUUUCGGGUCGGGCCGAGCCCCGCGGGGCGCCUACCCCGGCACGGCUGUGCCCCCCGCAGCCCUGCUGCCGCCAGCUCCUCGUGGUCUCAACUCCGUGCCCAAAUCGCGUUCUUCUGACGUAACGUUUUCCAAUUGCCGUUCCGAGAGCAGUGGCACAAUUUGGCGACUCCGCUGCUGCUCGUCUUGAAGCGUCGGGAUCUCUGCCGGGGGCCGCCCGAUCCAUUCUGUAAAUUGAAGUCUCAUUCGAUGGAUGGGUAAAAAAAAAAAAAAAGAAAAGAAGAAGCGAAUAGAAGCAAACAAAAGCCGCCACAUUGCAGCGGGAGGAUCUCAGGGCUGGCUGAGAACACAUUAUUGAAAUAAUCAUAAUUAUAAUUAAGAAAUGUGGAUGCAGCGGAACACCCUCACACACCCUCACCCUUCCCCCUACCCCGCUCCCCCUUAUUUUGUACUCCUUUUCUCUUUCCUUCUCCCUUUAUCCCACCCAAAAGUACCGCCGGCCCCGCGCAGAUCCCCGCGCAAUGUCCGUCGUUCCCGUCCUGUCCCCGCAGCAGCGUUUGUCCGUUCGCUGCGCAAAGGAUCGGCGCUUUUCGAUUGCCUUAGGAAAACGCCGGUCUGCGUGUUACCGACGCAUCGAAUUUAUUGCUAAUUGCGACGACAUCGGGAUCGGAAAGUCCCAAAAGACGCUUAUGACCGGGAGGCUGCACUGUUGCCGUCCCAUCGCCACCGUCGGUGUGUUGUAAAGGGUCACAGAUGAGUGCAUUUGGAGGUGCGAACUGCUCUGUUUCAGUCCGGAUUGGAUGGACGCGAGUGCAGCCGGGCGUGCUUAGGGGCUGGCUUUGCGCACUGUCAUCAGUUCCUACGUUUAUCACAGUCGAUGAUAAAACUCAGGGAAGAAAUUAAAGCUUUAUCACAGCGGUGCCUGAGUAGGUGGGAGUCAUCCCGAUUGCUGUGCUUUUCAGCAUUCGUAACAUUGGCAGGGUGUAAACGGUUCUCCAACUCGGGAUGCCCAAUGGCUCUAUGGCUCUAAAUCCACGUGCUGGAAUCUGCACAGUGGCUAUUUCCAAGGCGAAAAAAAAAAAAAAAAAAAAAAAAAAAAAAAAGACGUUUGCAUCUUUGAUGAGCCCUGAAUAUAACAGCAUCAGCUGUGUACCGAAACACCUCCGGCAGUUUGUAAGCAGGACUGCAUCUGGGCUGAGCUACUGCAUCUACACUGAGCUGCUAUUCAGAAUGGCCAAACAGAAGCUGAGGCAUGCACAACUGCAAUAUCUAGCUGUGAAAUAAAGCAAUUUAAAAAUAAAAUUACAAGAAAAAAGCUUUUACUUAUUAGA
This is a long non-coding RNA of Tympanuchus pallidicinctus (lesser prairie-chicken), 1726 nucleotides long. RefSeq lists it as uncharacterized. NCBI's taxonomy places the organism in Eukaryota, Metazoa, Chordata, Aves, Galliformes, Phasianidae. The record is from RefSeq and is a predicted model, not a curated record. The transcript has 2 exons.